This 289-nucleotide long non-coding RNA is filed under the name Elaeis guineensis (African oil palm). RNAcentral's name for it is "long non-coding RNA (EGUI_LNC075393)". Lineage: Eukaryota; Viridiplantae; Streptophyta; Magnoliopsida; Arecales; Arecaceae. The record is from RNAcentral.
CAGCUAAUGGUUCAAGUGUAAUAUAGUCGGACAGGAAAUUCUUGCCCAAAAUGAUCAUUGCAAUUUGAGUGCUAGAAGAAAGUACUGCUAGAUAUUAAUGGUGAACUCUUAUAGUGGGAAUUGCGCCUAUAGAAAAGCCUUGAAUAGGAUUGAAGGUGAAUUCUUUUUUGACAUUUGGAAAGUUGCACCAACAAGAAAUUCUGGUAUUAUUUGGACCUUGUGAAUUAUCUUGAUAGGGAGAUCAAGUGUUAGGUUCCAACAACUCCUCUCAUGGUUUAAUUGUGACUGU